GUCAAGGUUGUAAUUGAUAUUGGUUUCACAAAGGUCUUGGGUCAGCUUGACCCUAGCAACUAUGUAUUCCCCCUCCCCUCCUUGUGGUUUUUGCCUUUAGAAAUCGUGUUGCUUUGAGCUUCAGGGUUGAGCGUUCUUUAGGCCAUGAGCCCGCUCUCCACCGCCAGCAAUGAAGGACCAUCAAAUUUUAUGUGUGUGGUGCUCCUGUUUGCACUCAGGCACAACAUUUUGGAGGGCCCAGUGAGAUUCAGAGACCAUCCCCGGGGAAGAUCUCAUUCCGAUCCUUCCAGGUUGGUGCUAUGUCCAUAGGGGAGGUGCCCCCUGAUGAUGUGCCAGGGCCCCGCGUCCUGAUUCACUGACCUGGGAAGCUGGGCUUGAACUGUUCACUGACCAAUGGUCCUCUGUACAUAUAUGAAGAAUAAUUCAAGACCGCUUAAAAGUAACUAAGGUUGGAGCUGAUGCUGUGGCAUGGGAAGACCCAGAAGAAGCUCCUGGCUCCUGGCUUCGGAUCAGCGCAGCUCCAGCUGCUGCGGCCAAUAGAAGAGUGAACCAGCAGAUGGCAGACCUCUCUCUUCUCUGCCUCUCCUUCUCUCCCUGUGUAACUCUGGCUUUCAAAAUAAAUAAAAUAAAUCUUAAAAAAAAAAAAAAAAA
This is a non-coding RNA of Oryctolagus cuniculus (rabbit), 651 nucleotides long. The record is from RefSeq and is a predicted model, not a curated record. NCBI's taxonomy places the organism in Eukaryota, Metazoa, Chordata, Mammalia, Lagomorpha, Leporidae.